AUUGAACGCUGGCGGAAUGCUUUACACAUGCAAGUCGAACGGCAGCACGGACUUCGGUCUGGUGGCGAGUGGCAAACGGGCGAGUAAUGUAUCGGAACGUGCCCAGUCGUGGGGGAUAACGUAGUGAAAAUUACGCUAAUACCGCAUACGAUCUAUGGAUGAAAGCGGGGGAUCGCAAGACCUCGCGCGAUUGGAGCGGCCGAUAUCAGAUUAGGUAGUUGGUGGGGUAAAGGCCCACCAAGCCAACGAUCUGUAGCUGGUCUGAGAGGACGACCAGCCACACUGGAACUGAGACACGGUCCAGACUCCUACGGGAGGCAGCAGUGGGGAAUUUUGGACAAUGGGCGAAAGCCUGAUCCAGCCAUUCCGCGUGCAGGAUGAAGGCCCUCGGGUUGUAAACUGCUUUUGUACAGAACGAAAAGGUUUCUACUAAUACUAGGAGCUCAUGACGGUACUGUAAGAAUAAGCACCGGCUAACUACGUGCCAGCAGCCGCGGUAA
This 500-nucleotide ribosomal RNA is filed under the name uncultured bacterium. RNAcentral's name for it is "partial 16S ribosomal RNA". It matches the Rfam family "Bacterial small subunit ribosomal RNA", at positions 30 to 523 of the family's 1533-position model. The record is from RNAcentral.